RNAcentral lists this ribosomal RNA (320 nucleotides) under uncultured eukaryote. RNAcentral describes it as "partial 18S ribosomal RNA". It matches the Rfam family "Eukaryotic small subunit ribosomal RNA", at positions 1470 to 1796 of the family's 1831-position model. The record is from RNAcentral.
CCCCUAGAUGUUCUGGGCCGCACGCGCGCUACACUGAACAGUUCAACAAGUCUUAACCUUGGCCGAUAGGUCUGGGUAAUCUUUGAACGCUGUUCGUGAUUGGGAUAGACCUUUGCAAUUAUGGGUCUUCAACGAGGAAUUCCUAGUAAACGCAAGUCAUCUGCUUGCAUUGAUUACGUCCCUGCCCUUUGUACACACCGCCCGUCGCACCUACCGAUUGAAUGGUCCGGUGAAAUCUCGGGACGGCGGCUUGGUCGCUUGCGUCCGACUGCUGAAACUUGAUUAAACCAUAUCAUUUAGAGGAAGGUGAAGUCGUAACA